GUAGGGAAUAUUGGACAAUGGGGGCAACCCUGAUCCAGCGACGCCGCGUGAGUGACGAAGGCCUUCGGGUCGUAAAGCUCUGUUGCAAGGGAAAAACAAAAUGAUGGUACCUUGCUAGAAAGGAUCGGCUAACUUCGUGCCAGCAGCCGCGGUAAGACGAGGGAUCCUAGCGUUGUUCGGAAUUAUUGGGCGUAAAGCGGGUGUAGGUGGCUUUGUAAGUCAGGUGUGAAAGCCUGGGGCUUAACCCCAGAAGUGCAUUUGAUACUGCGAAGCUUGAGUGCUGGAGAGGCUACUAGAAUUCUUGGUGUAGUGGUGAAAUACGUAGAUAUCAAGAGGAAUACCGGAGGCGAAGGCGGGUAGCUGGCCAGACACUGACACUCAGACCCGAAAGCGUGGGGAUCAAACAGGAUUAGAAACCCUGGUAGUCC
Molecule: ribosomal RNA, 428 nt
Filed under: uncultured bacterium
Lineage: Bacteria
Description: partial 16S ribosomal RNA
Rfam family: Bacterial small subunit ribosomal RNA
Source: RNAcentral